This 70-nucleotide long non-coding RNA is filed under the name Gadus morhua (Atlantic cod). Its description in RNAcentral is "lncRNA (ENSGMOG00000037075.1)". The record is from RNAcentral. Lineage: Eukaryota; Metazoa; Chordata; Actinopteri; Gadiformes; Gadidae.
CAAAAAUAUAAGGAGUUGAAAGCACCCAGGACAGGGGUGAGCACUGAGGGAGGAGAGACCACUGCUGCAU